Molecule: ribosomal RNA, 627 nt
Filed under: bacterium YC-9
Lineage: Bacteria
Description: bacterial SSU rRNA
Rfam family: Bacterial small subunit ribosomal RNA
Source: RNAcentral
GAGGGGGAUAACUACUGGAAACGGUAGCUAAUACCGCAUAAUGUCUACGGACCAAAGUGGGGGACCUUCGGGCCUCAUGCCAUCAGAUGUGCCCAGAUGGGAUUAGUAGUAGGUGGGGUAAUGGCUCACCUAGGCGACGAUCCUAGCUGGUCUGAGAGGAUGACCAGCCACACUGGAACUGAGACACGGUCCAGACUCCUACGGGAGGCAGCAGUGGGGAAUAUUGCACAAUGGGCGCAAGCCUGAUGCAGCCAUGCCGCGUGUGUGAAGAAGGCCUUCGGGUUGUAAAGCACUUUCAGCGAGGAGGAAGGGUUCAGUGUUAAUAGCACUGUUCAUUGACGUUACUCGCAGAAGAAGCACCGGCUAACUCCGUGCCAGCAGCCGCGGUAAUACGGAGGGUGCAAGCGUUAAUCGGAAUUACUGGGCGUAAAGCGCACGCAGGCGGUUUGUUAAGUCAGAUGUGAAAUCCCCGCGCUUAACGUGGGAACUGCAUUUGAAACUGGCAAGCUAGAGUCUUGUAGAGGGGGGUAGAAUUCCAGGUGUAGCGGUGAAAUGCGUAGAGAUCUGGAGGAAUACCGGUGGCGAAGGCGGCCCCCUGGACAAAGACUACGCUCCAGUCGAAAGCGV